UCAACACAUUCCAUUUCUCCCCAAGGCAAGAAUAAAAGUAAAUUUAUCACAGCUUUGGAGCAAAAUCAGUUAAUAUAAUCCCAAGUGCACAAACUUGAUUUCUUGGGAUUUAUACAAUAUUAGAUUGAAACUCAGAUGUCAAAGAGCUAGAAGGGAAGACAUUGAUCUUGUGUGAUGCCAAACCCCAGAAGACAUCCUGAAGUUUGGAUGCUCGUGGAGAUUAGGGUGUUGGGAGAAGAAUCCCCGUCCACAGUUCCAUCCUCUGAGCCAAUUCUAAGGCCUAGGAUGGUCACAGGCAAUAUUACUUCAGCAAUGGUAUUGUUUUCUUCCACCCAUUUUUUCCAAGGAUUAUUGUAAAUUUGACAAAAACUCAACCUAGUACUCACUUAUCUUUUCCUCUCUGCUAUGGUCAUAUUAAGUAUCUUAAAGAGAGCCAUAGGUUUGCUUUUUGUUUUUUUCUUAUAAACCUGCAAUUAACUGGAGACUUGCUGGGUUGGGCUAUGCCUGACCAAUCUGGACUCAGCUGGCCCAGGUGCUGAAGUAUUAUUGGCAGGGUAGACUAGGGUGGUGGCUGGCCCGAGUGGGCUUUCCUGGGAUAAUGCAAAUAUCUUUCCUGGUCUCUCUCAUCUGUCUAGAAGGCUAACCUGUGGCAGUUAUUGUGGGAGAAAUCUAAGUAUUUCUGACUUUACUUCUCAGCUAUUAAUGUUCUCUUAGCCUGAAUGAAUCACAUGUCUUACUCUCUUGACUAGCAUCCCAAGCUUUCGGCUUUCUGUUCAAAGAAUUGUAGAAGUUAACACACAGAUGGAAAACUAGCAAGGAAAUGUAUUCAGAAGCAAAACUAUAACUCAUAUUGGACACACUGCAAGGCAGUAGCAUGCUUCUUGAUUUACAACACUCAAGCGCAGUAGUUAUUGUUUAGGGCUUUGUUUUAUGGAGUUUAGGAGGAGGGGGUGUUGCUUGGUAUGGCCUUGGUUAUGAGUGGCACUCUUCAUUCAGUGACAGUUUGGAUAAGCCUUUCUCUACUGCAUACAUAGUUUUCUAUGAUGCAUCUGAUUCUAAUCAUAUGCAUGCUUGUGUGGUUGAAUAGAGGCAUAGAGAUGGACAAUGGAGGAUUUUCCCUGAAAAUUUAUGGAGAGGGCACAGUUUGGCUUACUGUGAAUCUACCGAAAACUGGUUUGGGCUGGAUUGGGUCUAUUUCCUGUAGUUCCUAGACAUCUUCCAGGGCAUGUUUGAAUAGAAACAGGGCAUUGCCAUAGGCUUGUCAAGGAGGAGUCAGAAGCAUGGUAUAGGUACUGUCCUGUGAAGAUAAAGGUUGCAGCUUGCCAAAAUUUACUAUGAGAAAAGGACUGUUGUAUUUGUAGCUUUAGCCAAGUGGAAUCCCAGGAUACUAAGCUUCCUUCAUGCCUGGCAGCCUCACAAGGGUAGAUCCAAAGUUACAGUAAGAGGGGCUCAAGAUGUCCAGGGUACUAGGUGUGACCACAGACAACUGUGAUGAAACAAAUUCAAUGUAGUUUAAAUAAAUUCAGUAUAAAGCUACUGCACAUGCCCUGAAGCGGAAAUUAAUGGGAACUCAGCUUGAGAAAUACCAAAACAUGAAUGGACUCCCUUUAAAAAAAAAAUAGAGUUUUAGAGCAAUGAUUUCUCUCAGACAGGUUUCAUGGACUAUAAUAAGAAAUAUACCAGACUGGUUGGUACAGACCUGUCAUCACAACUACUUUAGAGACUAAAGUGGGAUGAUCUCAUGAUGGAGAGGAGACCUCCCAGGGCUACAAAGGAAGUUCAACUCUACUCAGCCAAUUUAAUGAUACCUUUUCUCAAAAGGAAAAGUAAAAGAGGGCUAUGGAUAUUGCUCAAAGAGAAAUCUGUGUCAGAGACCUGUGGACCUGAGAGGACAGCAUCGGUUCAAAAUCUGGGAACUGUCCCAAGCAUGUAUUAGGAUGCAAAUUAAUUUGAGCCUUGUUUCCCCUGCUCUUGCCACUGGGAGCGCAUUGGGUGGGAAGGUUAAUUCAGUGCAGCCUUAUCUCCCGUGGGCACUGCUGGGGAGCCUUGGAAUCAUUUUGUUUCUCAUCUCUGGAAAUGGAAUGUGCUUUGCCUCACUGAUGAGUAGGGGAGGAAAGAGGUCAACCUGGAGAGAUUAGGAUGCCUACCAAGGCUCCCUGUGCUGCAAGGGGUUAUUAAGGAUCCCAGAAGUGAGAGGCUGCAGUUAGUUUUAGUUCUGAGGAGCUGUGUCUGUAAGGCUUUCUGUGCAGCUGUAGGACAUUGCUGAAGUCCCCCUUCCCUGACUGCUGCUUCCAAAGAGAACAUCCACACAUGAGCAUGUAUCUGACACUGAAGACAACCAAGAUCCAGUUCAGCCAAAGGGAAAUAAAAUGCAUACACUUUUCAAGCACUU
Molecule: long non-coding RNA, 2392 nt
Organism: Mus musculus (house mouse)
Lineage: Eukaryota; Metazoa; Chordata; Mammalia; Rodentia; Muridae
Product: predicted gene, 50619
Exons: 2
Source: RefSeq, a predicted model, not a curated record